This 428-nucleotide ribosomal RNA is filed under the name uncultured bacterium. Its description in RNAcentral is "partial 16S ribosomal RNA". It matches the Rfam family "Bacterial small subunit ribosomal RNA", at positions 354 to 796 of the family's 1533-position model. The record is from RNAcentral.
GUAGGGAAUAUUGCACAAUGGGGGAAACCCUGAUGCAGCGACGCCGCGUGAGUGAUGAAGGCCUUCGGGUCGUAAAGCUCUGUCGUAUGGGACUAACACAAUGAAGGUACCAUGCAAGAAAGGAUCGGCUAACUUCGUGCCAGCAGCCGCGGUAAGACGAGGGAUCCUAGCGUUGUUCGGAAUCAUUGGGCGUAAAGCGGGUGUAGGCGGAUUUAUAAGUCAGGUGUGAAAUCCCAGGGCUCAACCCUGGAAGUGCACUUGAUACUGUAAAUCUUGAGUGUGGUAGAGGUUACUGGAAUUGUUGGUGCAGUGGUGAAAUACGUAGAUAUCAACAGGAAUACCGGAGGCGAAGGCGAGUAACUGGGCCAACACUGACGCUGAGACCCGAAAGCGUGGGGAUCAAACAGGAUUAGAAACCCGUGUAGUCC